RNAcentral lists this ribosomal RNA (420 nucleotides) under uncultured bacterium. RNAcentral's name for it is "bacterial SSU rRNA". It matches the Rfam family "Bacterial small subunit ribosomal RNA", at positions 355 to 774 of the family's 1533-position model. The record is from RNAcentral.
UAAGGAAUAUUGCUCAAUGGGAGAAAUCCUGAAGCAGCAACGCCGCGUGGAGGAUGAAGGGUCUAUGACUUGUAAACUCCUGUAAAGAAGGAAAAAAUUCCCAUUAGAUGGGAGAUGAUGGUACUUCUGGAGUAAGCCCCGGCUAACUACGUGCCAGCAGCCGCGGUAAUACGUAGGGGGCAAGCGUUGUCCGGAUUUACUGGGUGUAAAGGGUGCUCAGGCGGAUUUGUAAGUCAGAGGUGAAAUCUUACAGCUUAACUGUGAAGCUGCCUUUGAUACUGCAAGCCUAGAGUAUGGAAGAGAGUGAUGGAAUACCUGGUGUAGCAGUGAAAUGCGUAGAUAUCAGAUAGAACACCAAUGGCGAAGGCAGUCACUUGGUCCAUUACUGACGCUAAAGCACGAAAGCGUGGGUAGCAAACA